RNAcentral lists this long non-coding RNA (1066 nucleotides) under Pavo cristatus (Indian peafowl). RNAcentral describes it as "lncRNA (ENSPSTG00000002852.1)". Lineage: Eukaryota; Metazoa; Chordata; Aves; Galliformes; Phasianidae. The record is from RNAcentral.
CACAUGGCAAACCCCUCUUCAAAACAAGGGGAGGACUGGAUGCUGGCCACAGCAGCAGGAUUUUUAGGUGGCAGAAAUCAGACCGGCCUGUGACAAGACAUAGAGCCGGUUACGGGAGUAAUGCAGAUCCCCUUUUAACACUCACAGAUGGGCACACGGAGCCCGUUUGAUUCAAGCAGGAAGAAAUGCAAUACGGCAAAAUGAGCUCUUCAUAAAGAGUUUCUCCUCCCCACCUCAUCUCCUGCCUGUUUCCCCAGCACUUUUAAAAGUGCGUGUCCUUUCUCCUGGAGCACAACUGCCCGGCCAACAGCACAGAGGGUUCCUGGGUGCUGCCACCCCUCAUCCCUCCCUUCAGAGGUUUGCUGCCCACUGCACUCCCUUCAGGCACACCCCGCACUCAUUUCCUCUUUAGCUCUGUCACCGUUAUUCUCUUCUAUGCAGCCACUCGUGAGGACUCCUGGAAGGAGGCUGCUGAGAACUGUCUGGAUAUUCAGCAGACUUGCUUUCGUCUCUUCGCAGCGCCAACCCCGAGCUCCUCGUGUUUAACGAGCGCGUCAGGAGCCCCGUAGGGAGCAGAUCUGCAUCGCAAUGGUGGCAGCCAGACCCCAACGGCACAAAGUGCAUAGGAGUGAUGGGCAGCAAAGCAGGAUUCGCAGAUAGUUUUGUUUAUCAAAGCAGAAAACUGCGCGGCAGACAAUCUUCUGUACUUCAGAAACCAGUGAAAGAAACGGCCCUCUGCUGCAGCCGCGCAGAGGAGCAGCAGGUUAAAGUGCUUACAGACAACGGGUGCCACGGGGAGCAACUGGGAACCUUGACCCAGGUCAGUGGCAGAACUGGGAUCCAGCCUCAGCUGCCACACCUCCAGCCUCUGUGGCACAGUGCCCAGGCAGAGCUCCAGCAGCAGAGGACCAUGCCUGCAACCACCAAGGUACCAGGUAUCGCUAACAUUGCCCACUCCAUUACUGUACGCUCUGUCCAGGCAGCACUGGGAAGUCACUGUGUUCAAUACUGCAGAAAUGCAGAUAAAAGAGCAGCUGUUCUCUGUCCAGGAGAGCUUUUGGUCUAG